Long non-coding RNA from Strigops habroptila (Kakapo), 663 nucleotides. RefSeq lists it as uncharacterized. The transcript has 3 exons. NCBI's taxonomy places the organism in Eukaryota, Metazoa, Chordata, Aves, Psittaciformes, Psittacidae. The record is from RefSeq and is a predicted model, not a curated record.
CACCCAAGAGCAGAAGCAGCGAGGUCCACGAUGGGAAAAAUGAAUCCAGCAGUCCCUCCUAUCUUGUACCCACCUAAGUGCAGGAAAAGACCUCAUACAAAGCAAGAAUGCAUCUGGGCUUGCGGCUCUUUUUAACCAUAUUAAAUCCAAUUCAGAGUUAAUGAUGAGCUCUAGAUGAGACUGGUCUAAGCAUUGCUGAAGAAGAGAAGAACAGAGUUGGAAGGCAGGAGCUAUUUCAAAGCAGGAUUCUUCUUUCUGUAACACCUAAACAUGAAGACUUUACAAAUUUCAUUAGAUCCUGCCAUCAAUGGCUGAGCCUCCCUGAAAUCUUCUUAUCAGUUACUGCCUAGAUGAGAAGGAUAACAGGAAGGAGGAAUGCUUAAGUGGUUUUAAUGACAGUUAAUUUCAUCUAUUUAUCAAAUGACAGGUUGUCUUUUUUCCUCAAAACUUGAUUGUCAUGACAAAAUGCUUUUGGAAGUCAUCUGUGUAAAAUAAAACUGACAAUUUUGGGGCUACAAAGAGCUAUUGUGUCUUUCUAUACAAUGUUGUCAUUAUGGUAAACCGCUGGAAAGUCUUUAUUUUUGAAGUGAUUUAACUUGCAUACUUCAUUCAUUUAUUUGAAUGUCUGUUGAAUGCCAUGUGAAAAGUUUCUUGCCAGAGUUC